UCAAUAUAAAUUGAUUAAUUAUUAUUUAUUAAUUUAUAUUUGAGUAAAAAUUUUAAUAUUAAAAAUAAUUAUAUAUUUUAGUGUUUAAGUAUUUUAUAAAGAAAUAAUAAUUUUAAUUAUAGUUGAAUAGUAUUGUAAAGGAAUAUUGAAAUAUUUUGAAAAAUAAUUAUUUUAAAAGAAAAUUUAAUUAAUUGUACCUUGUGUGUCAGGGUUUAUUAAAUAAAAAUUAAUAAAUUUAAUUUUCCCGAUUUUAAAAGAGUUAAUGUAUUAUAAAAGUUAAUGUAAUAAAAUUAUUUUAAAUAAUAUGUUAGAAAUGAGAUGUUAUUCGGUUUUAAAGGUAUCUGGUUUUUUAAGAAAUAAAUUUAAUUUAGAAAUUUUAUAUUAUUUAAUUAGUUUAUUUAAUUAAAUAAGUAUUUAAAUUUAGUAUUUUAUGGGAUAAGCUAUAAAGUAAAUAAUUAAAAAUUAAUAAAUGAAUUAAUUAAUGUAAAUUUAAAAAUAGUUAUCAUUAGUAAAAAUGUUAUAAUUUAUUUUAGAAUAUGAAUUAUUUAUUAUAUUUUAAAUUUUUAUUAAAAUAUUUAUUUAAAUUUUGAAAAUAAAUAAAUAAUGGUAAAAUUAGUAUAUUAUAUUGUGUAAAUAAGUUAUUAUGAAAAGUUUUUAUAAAGAACUCGGCAAAAUUAGUGUUCGCCUGUUUAACAAAAACAUGUCUUUUUGAAUUGAAUUUAAAGUCUAACCUGCCCACUGAGUAUUUUAAAUGGCCGCAGUAUAUUAACUGUGCAAAGGUAGCAUAAUCAUUAGUCUUUUAAUUGAAGGCUAGUAUGAAUGGUUGGACGAGGUACUAACUGUUUCAUAAAAAUUUAUAAUAAAAUUUUAUUUUUUAGUUAAAAAGCUAAAAUAGAUUUAAAAGACGAGAAGACCCUAUAAAUCUUUAUAUUUAGAAUAUUAAAAAUUUUUGGUUUUUUUUUAUUUUAAUAAUUUAUUAAUAUUUUAUUGGGGUGAUAUUAAAAUUUAAUAAACUUUUAAUUAUUUUUUUCAUUUAUUUAUGAUUUAUUGAUCUUUUAUUAAGGAUUAAAAAUUUAAGUUACUUUAGGGAUAACAGCGUAAUUUUUUUGAAGAGUUCUUAUCAAUAAAAAAGAUUGCGACCUCGAUGUUGGAUUAAGAUAUAGUUUUAGGUGUAGUCGCUUAAAUUUUAAGUCUGUUCGACUUUUAAAUUCUUACAUGAUCUGAGUUCAAACCGGUGUAAGCCAGGUUGGUUUCUAUCUUUAGGAAAAUUUAAUAUUUUAGUACGAAAGGAUUUAAUAUUAAAUAAAUAAUUAUUUUUGUUUUGGAAAUUAAUAAAAUA
This 1339-nucleotide ribosomal RNA is filed under the name Phaonia tuguriorum. RNAcentral's name for it is "16S ribosomal RNA". The stretch from base 1089 to 1248 matches the Rfam family "Archaeal large subunit ribosomal RNA", at positions 2544 to 2703 of the family's 2987-position model. Lineage: Eukaryota; Metazoa; Arthropoda; Insecta; Diptera; Muscidae. The record is from RNAcentral.